RNAcentral lists this transfer RNA (75 nucleotides) under Sphaerodactylus townsendi. Its description in RNAcentral is "tRNA-Ala". The record is from RNAcentral. Lineage: Eukaryota; Metazoa; Chordata; Lepidosauria; Squamata; Sphaerodactylidae.
GGAUUGGGGUUGUGCUCAGUGACAGAGUAUGUGCUUUGCAUGCAGAAGGCUCAGGUUCAGUCCCUGGAUUCUCCA